Molecule: long non-coding RNA, 2493 nt
Filed under: Salmo salar (Atlantic salmon)
Lineage: Eukaryota; Metazoa; Chordata; Actinopteri; Salmoniformes; Salmonidae
Description: lncRNA (ENSSSAG00000091034.1)
Rfam family: Histone 3' UTR stem-loop (bases 1659-1704)
Source: RNAcentral
GUUACACCCGUCUAUGUCUCACUCUUGACGCUUGUCUCGGUCACGUGAUACGUUGCCGCUAAAAAUAAACCCACAAGCUAGCAAAAUUUGUAAAAAACAAACGUCUUUGGAAAGUUUCUUUGCGAAGUGGAAAAGGGCCCGUGAGGAGACAGAAGAAGAGCCUACGACUUCCAAGAAAAAGAAAGCUGCAUUUAACAGACAAUACCAGGAGUCCUACUUAAAAUAUGGAUUUAUCGCGACAGGUGAUUCCCGCGCACCAAAGCCCGCUCUGCAUAAUAUGUGGCGACCGGCUCUCUAAUGAGGAAAUUAAGCCUUCAAAACUGCUUCGCCACUUGGAGACCAAGCACCCUGCAUUAAAAGACAAGCCUUCGGAGUAUUUUCAGCAGCUUUGUGAGGAGAUGAACACGGAGCAGAGACACCUUCUCUUAUACCCAGAAAUAAGAUGGUUAUCCCGAGGGAGAUCGCUGGCCAGAGUGUUUGAAUUACGAGAGCCGCUGCAGAGAUUUCUCUCUGGCAGCACAUUUCAGUGACGAGGAAUGGGUCGCAAAACUCGCUUACUUGUGCGACAUAUUCAACCAGCUCCAUGAACUCAAUCGGUCACUUCAGGGGAAAAUGACAACUGUCUUCAAGUUGGCAGAUAAAGUAGCUGCAUUUAAAGCCAAACUGGAUUUGUGGGGACGGCACGUGAACAGAGGUAUAUUUGACAUGUUUCAAACAUUCGCGGGGAUUCUAGAAGAGACUGAGCCUUCAUUGUCCCAGCUGGUGCACGAUCACCUGUCUUUGCUUUUAAAAGAGUUUGAGCGCUACUUCCCAACCACAAAAGACCCACGAACUGCCAAGGAAUGGAUCCGCGACCCAUUUGUCAACAAACCAGGUGAAUCCAGCAUGUCUAUGCAAGAAGAUCAACUGCUGGAGAUCGCAAAUGACGGCGGUAGGUUCGAGACAACAACUCUGCCGGUGUUCUGGAUUAAAGUCACGGCAGAAUACCCUGAGAUCGCCACAACAGCACUGAAAACCCUGUUGCCAUUUCCGACAUCCUAUUUGUGUGAAGCGGGAUUUUCUGCAGUGACAGCAACCAAAACAAAAUGACGGAGUAGACUGGACAUAAGCAACACACUUCGGGUGUCAUUGUCUCCCAUUACCCCUAGAUGGGACCGUCUCGUUGCAGAGAAACAAGCUCAGGGCUCCCACUGAUUUAGCGUUAUGGUUUUCUGUCCUCAGAUAAAGAGAGCUAUGAAAGCCAGUCUACAUAUGAAGAGGUCCCAAUGAAGAGCAGUGGUUCUCAGUCCUGGUCCUGGGGACUCAAAGGGAUACCUUGUAAUUGGAGAUUCCUUCAAAACCAUUGCCUACAGUUAGCGUGUAGGGCACUGCAAGGUUGGGUGAUCAGGGCCAUCUGGGACUGCCUCCUGGAGGAAUUCAGGUGUGUGAAGGCUACCUGUGUCCUGCAUAACUUCAUGAAGAUGGACACGAGGACCAGGAGUGGAUCUGCAGCUUGCCGCCGUGUGCCAGAGGAGAAGUCUGGUGCUCUGCAGGAUGUUUCAAGGUUGGGGUCCAGCAACGCAGCAAGAGAGGCAAUCCGUGUGCUGGAGCUCGUCACCUCCUACUUCUUCGAAGAGGGUGCUGUUCCCUGGCAACACCAUAGACUACAUUAUGCACAACCAAAGGCUAUUUUAAGAGCCAUCCACAUUGCAAUAAGAGUAUUCUUCCAUUUACUGAGCUAUGUCAACUGCAGUUAUUCAAUUCCCAGUUUCUCUCCCUUUGAUUUCUACUUCUCAGGUGAGGGUGCUGUUUAGAUAAGGGUGUGAUGUCUGUAGAAAAACAAAACAGGCUAUUUAAAUCACCCAUAUUGAAAAAAUGUAGAACAAUUAGACACCCUGUAACCCACACCUACACACUCAUAAGCAGGCUCAGGUGUAUAAAAAAAAGGUAAGAGGGCCAACCAUGGAGAAUAAUAAGACACGUCAUUAUUUCUAUUACCACGCUAUUUUGUUUGUCCUCAUGUGUUCAUUCAUGUUUUUCAGCAUAAAGUACUCUGCAGCUACUUAGUGGACACCAGGUUAUAUCAGCUGUGUUGGUGAACCCCUCCCUCAUCUGAACUGGCUACAUAGAGGGCACAGCAUGAUCAGAGAUGUGUUUUGUUGUGAGAGAGGAUGCCAACCCCCAGUCCCAUCAUCGCAACCUCACCCGCUUUUAAGAUAACCUUCAGGCUGACUAGAGACACUUAUGUAAUUGUGAUGAACUGAGAGAAUAUUUGUGUAGCACUGAUUCAUUAUUCAUAUCCCUGCUCCUAUGUUCUUACCUCUUUCCCUUUCUGUCUUUUACACCUCUCUCGCCACCUCCUCUUUCUUCCUCUGUUUUUAUAAUUCACAACAGAUGUGCAUUGAAGUACAGAUUGAACUUGUAUUUAUAAUAUUACAAUUAUAAUAUUAAUGCAUGUAUUUAUAACACUUGGAUAAUGAACUUCUUUCAAUAAAGUGUUUCACAUUCUCUACU